UGAUAUUAUUUUUAAACCUUUGUCCCUCUAAUUUAAGACUAUGUCCUCUUGUUGUGGUAGUUCUCCUUCUUUUAAAUAUAGUCUCCUCCUUUACAGUGUUGAUUCCCUUUAUGUAUUUAAAUGUUUCUAUCAUAUCCCCCCUGUCUCGUCUUUCCUCCAAGCUAUACAUGUUAAGUUCUUUUAACCUUUCCUGGUAAGUUUUAUC
Molecule: non-coding RNA, 205 nt
Organism: Pelobates cultripes (western spadefoot toad)
Lineage: Eukaryota; Metazoa; Chordata; Amphibia; Anura; Pelobatidae
Source: the annotation of a GenBank genome assembly